Small nuclear RNA from Rhinolophus ferrumequinum (greater horseshoe bat), 105 nucleotides. The record is from Ensembl. Lineage: Eukaryota; Metazoa; Chordata; Mammalia; Chiroptera; Rhinolophidae.
GUGCUUGCUUUGGCAGCACAUAUACUAAAAUUGGAACGACACAGAUAAGAUUAGCAUGGCCCCCACAAGGGUGACACACAAAUUCAUGAAGCGUUCCACAUUUUU